This 492-nucleotide ribosomal RNA is filed under the name uncultured bacterium. RNAcentral's name for it is "partial 16S ribosomal RNA". It matches the Rfam family "Bacterial small subunit ribosomal RNA", at positions 29 to 507 of the family's 1533-position model. The record is from RNAcentral.
AGUGAACGCUGGCGGUAGGCCUAACACAUGCAAGUCGAACGGCAGCACAGUAAGAGCUUGCUCUUACGGGUGGCGAGUGGCGGACGGGUAAGGAAUACAUCGGAAUCUACUUUUUCGUGGGGGAUAACGUAGGGAAACUUACGCUAAUACCGCAUACGACCUACGGGUGAAAGCAGGGGAUCUUCGGACCUUGCGCGAUUGAAUGAGCCGAUGUCGGAUUAGCUAGUUGGCGGGGUAAAGGCCCACCAAGGCGACGAUCCGUAGCUGGUCUGAGAGGAUGAGCAGCCACACUGGAACUGAGACACGGUCCAGACUCCUACGGGAGGCAGCAGUGGGGAAUAUUGGACAAUGGGCGCAAGCCUGAUCCAGCCAUACCGCGUGGGUGAAGAAGGCCUUCGGGUUGUAAAGCCCUUUUGUUGGGAAAGAAAAGCAGCAGGUUAAUACCCCGCUGUUCUGACGGUACCCAAAGAAUAAGCACCGGCUAACUUCGUG